GUGUCCUACGGGGGGCAGCAGUGGGGAAUAUUGCGCAAUGGGGGCAACCCUGACGCAGCAACGCCGCGUGCGGGAUGAAGGCUUUCGGGUUGUAAACCGCUUUCAGCAGGGAUGACAUCGACAGUACCUGCAGAAGAAGCCCCGGCUAACUACGUGCCAGCAGCCGCGGUAAUACGUAGGGGGCGAGCGUUAUCCGGAUUCAUUGGGCGUAAAGCGUGCGCAGGCGGGCGUGUAAGCGGGGCCUUUAAUAUUGGGGCUUAACCUCACGUCGGGUUCCGAA
RNAcentral lists this ribosomal RNA (280 nucleotides) under uncultured bacterium. Its description in RNAcentral is "partial 16S ribosomal RNA". It matches the Rfam family "Bacterial small subunit ribosomal RNA", at positions 334 to 632 of the family's 1533-position model. The record is from RNAcentral.